CAGCCGCCACGGGAAUACGUAGGGUGCGAGCGUUAAUCGGAAUUACUGGGCGUAAAGCGUGCGCAGGCGGUUUUGUAAGACAGAGGUGAAAUCCCCGGGCUCAACCUGGGAACUGCCUUUGUGACUGCAAGGCUAGAGUACGGCAGAGGGGGAUGGAAUUCCGCGUGUAGCAGUGAAAUGCGUAGAUAUGCGGAGGAACACCGAUGGCGAAGGCAAUCCCCUGGGCCUGUACUGACGCUCAUGCACGAAAGCGUGGGGAGCAAACAGGAUUAGAGACCCCAGUAGUCCCUGUCUCUUAUAC
Molecule: ribosomal RNA, 301 nt
Filed under: uncultured bacterium
Lineage: Bacteria
Description: partial 16S ribosomal RNA
Rfam family: Bacterial small subunit ribosomal RNA
Source: RNAcentral